UUUCCAUAUUAUACUUGAGAGAGGGGACAGUAAACAGUUUUCUUUUCUAAAAAAAAAAAAAAAAUAGCAGCAGACAUGUAUUGUGAUGAAAUCAUGUAAUUUCUCUCUGACGUGUUGAUGUAGUAAAGUUGGAUCAGCCAUGGACAAAGGUUUGCUGCUGGUCCUGUUGUGUCUGCAGGUCGUCCUGCUCACCACAGUCUUCACUUCUGCUGAUGCAGCCGCUCUGCUGAGAGAUGAUCAGCAUCAACAACCUGUUGAUCCAAUGAGAAGUCUGCAGCAAAUGAAAGGAAGACGACAGACGGAGCAGAAACUUCCAUACUGGAUAUUCUGCGGGAGGAGACGAGGAGGAUGCACUUUGACAGGAGACCUGCCACGUCCUGGGAUCAUCUUUUGACCAGUUCAAGUCACAUUCAAUAGACAUCUUGAGUCAAGCUCUGCAGGAAAUGCCAUUAGAUGCAAAAGACAGCAAAUGAAUGAAGAUAAUUGUAAUGCUUACAAAAUAAUGCAAGUGCUUUUUAUUAGAAAUAAAAAUUUCAAAUCAGA
This is a long non-coding RNA of Amphiprion ocellaris (clown anemonefish), 543 nucleotides long. The record is from Ensembl. NCBI's taxonomy places the organism in Eukaryota, Metazoa, Chordata, Actinopteri, Pomacentridae.